Molecule: ribosomal RNA, 499 nt
Filed under: uncultured bacterium
Lineage: Bacteria
Description: bacterial SSU rRNA
Rfam family: Bacterial small subunit ribosomal RNA
Source: RNAcentral
AGGAUGAACACUAGCGACAGGCCUAACACAUGCAAGUCAGGGGCAGCACAAGGAGCAAUCUGAGGUGGCGACCGGCGCACGGGUGAGGUAACACGUAUGCAACCUGCCUGUAAGCGGGGAAUAACCCGUUGAAAGACGGACUAAUACCGCAUAAUACUAAAUUACUGCAUGGUAAUUUAUUUAAACAUUUUAUGGCUUACAGAUGGGCAUGCGCAUGAUUAGCUAGUUGGAGAGGUAACGGCUCCCCAAGGCAACGAUCAUUAGGGGUUCUGAGAGGAAGGUCCCCCACACUGGUACUGAGACACGGACCAGACUCCUACGGGAGGCAGCAGUGAGGAAUAUUGGUCAAUGGACGAGAGUCUGAACCAGCCAAGUCGCGUGCAGGAAGAAUGUCCCUAUGGAUUGUAAACUGCUUUUGCAGGGGAAUAAAGUGCAUCACGUGUGAUGUUUUGUAUGUACUCUGCGAAUAAGGAUCGGCUAACUCCGUGCCAGCCGCCGC